GUUUUAUUUGUAUUUAUGUUAGUGUAAUUAUGUUUAUCAUCAUAAUUUAUGACUUCAUUAAGUACAAUGCAUUUUUUAAGCCUGCUAUUUUUCCGUACUCUUUUGCUUUCCGUUUUUUUGAUCCGGUUUUCUGUAUUGUUUUCUUUUCUUUAAUUUAAUUUAAUUGUUUAAAAUUCGUCUAAAUUACCAUUUGGUUUGGGUACCCCUUCCAGCAUCUUUCUCGCUCUCUGCGGGGACCUCCUUUUCUUCUCUCACUUUCCCUUUUUUUUGUUUAGUUAUUAUAGUUAAUGUUAUGAUUAGACGUAAGACGAUACAAAAAAAAGGUGACAUUACGUUCAACUACUUUUUUUGUUACUUAAGUUUACACAAUUAUAUUAAAUAUGCUUUCGGUUUCUCGUUAUUCUUCGUUUUUGAAUGUAUUGCACUGAAUUGUAACCUAUUUAUUUCCGUUGAUUUUCCCCAGUACGUUUUUGCUCAUUGCGGGGAAGGGGCUUGGUUAAUGCCUUUUGCCAAUAUCGGCAAUUAAAACUUAUGAUCCUACACAGACAACCACGCAUAUUUAUUUAUAUAUUUAUAUUUUGUGUGUGUGUGUGUGUGUGUGUGUAUGCUCUUUGCGGAAUAUUUAUGCAUGUAUUCCCUGCUGCCAUAUACAUUUACUCAGUUUUGGGCAUUCCCUUGAUAUUACACACCACACACACAUUUUUCGUUACAUUUUCAAUAUUACAAUAAUCACAAAAAAAAAAAACAAAAAAAAUAAUGCAACACGAUUACAUCCUCUAAACAUUAGUAUUGAAUAUAGAUUUUCGUUUAUGUUUUUGUUUUUAUUACUUUUUUUCAUCGCCACUUUUGGUGUUUGACUUUUUCCCUAAACUAAGCUUACUUUGAGGGAAUAUAACUUGGGUUUGCGGUUUGGGUUUCGGGUGAGGGUGAGGGUGGAAGGGGGUGAUUAAAUAUUUAAGAACAUUAUCCGUUUUGUAUGCAAAAAAUUGACCAAGACAUCAACACCAAACAAAUGCCCUACAGUUAACAUAUACAAUGUACGAGUAUGUACGGUUUGUAAACUUCCUACGCCUAAGUAUAUUUAUGUUUAUGUUGCUAUAACUUCUAGUUUUUUAUUUU
RNAcentral lists this long non-coding RNA (1119 nucleotides) under Drosophila guanche. The record is from RNAcentral. Lineage: Eukaryota; Metazoa; Arthropoda; Insecta; Diptera; Drosophilidae.